AUAGUCUGAGACCUGAUGCCGAGCCGAUUGUGGUGAAGUGGAUGAUCCUAUGCUGUCGAGAAAAGCCUCUAGUGAGUUUCAAGGCGGCCCGUACCCUAAACCGACUCAGGUGGUCAGGUAGAGAAUACCGAGGCGUUCGGGUGAACUAUGGUUAAGGAACUCGGCAAAAUGCCCCCGUAACUUCGGGAGAAGGGGGGCCAUUUCCGGUGAUGGCAUUUACUGUCUGAGCUGGGGGUGGCCGCAGAGACCAGCGAGAAGCGACUGUUUACUAAAAACACAGGUCCGUGCGAAGCCGUAAGGCGAUGUAUACGGACUGACGCCUGCCCGGUGCUGGAACGUUAAGGGGACCGGUUAGCUCCAUUUCGGUGGGGCGAAGCUGAGAACUUAAGCGCCAGUAAACGGCGGUGGUAACUAUAACCAUCCUAAGGUAGCGAAAUUCCUUGUCGGGUAAGUUCCGACCUGCACGAAUGGCGUAACGACUUCUCGACUGUCUCAACCAUAGGCCCGGUGAAAUUGCAUUACGAGUAAAGAUGCUCGUUUCGCGCAGCAGGACGGAAAGACCCCGGGACCUUUACUAUAGCUUGAUAUUGGUGUUCGGUUCGGCUUGUGUAGGAUAGGUGGGAGACUGUGAAGCGCCAACGCCAGUUGGUGUGGAGUCGUUGUUGAAAUACCACUCUGGUCGUGCUGGAUGUCUAACCUGGGUCCGUGAUCCGGAUCAGGGACAGUGUCUGGUGGGUAGUUUAACUGGGGCGGUUGCCUCCUAAAGGGUAACGGAGGCGCCCAAAGGUUCCCUCAGCCUGGUUGGUAAUCAGGUGUUGAGUGUAAGUGCACAAGGGAGCUUGACUGUGAGACUGACGGGUCGAGCAGGUACGAAAGUAGGGACUAGUGAUCCGGCGGUGGCUUGUGGAAGCGCCGUCGCUCAACGGAUAAAAGGUACCCCGGGGAUAACAGGCUGAUCUUCCCCAAGAGUCCAUAUCGACGGGAUGGUUUGGCACCUCGAUGUCGGCUCGUCGCAUCCUGGGGCUGGAGUCGGUCCCAAGGG
Molecule: ribosomal RNA, 1042 nt
Filed under: Streptomyces sp. MspMP-M5
Lineage: Bacteria; Bacillati; Actinomycetota; Actinomycetes; Kitasatosporales; Streptomycetaceae
Also listed under: 1 other name
Description: bacterial LSU rRNA
Rfam family: Bacterial large subunit ribosomal RNA
Source: RNAcentral